CAUUUAUCCUGCACCGAACAUAGACUCUUCAGUUUCUGUGCAUUAUUUUUCGGAAUUCUAAGAAUAUAUAUAAUUCAGCCUGCACUGUUCAGGACUAACUGGUAUGGAUGUUUACCUCACACUGCUCUAUGUGACGUUGGAACAGGAACAGGCCCUGAAACAUUUCUUCCUGAAGAAUGGAUGGAAGUUCUGUAAGCCAGAUCUUUCAGUUAUUACAGAGAAAAUAGGUCCACCUCAGUUAUCCACUGUCAGCAUCAGAGAUGUUCCUGAAAGUCCUGGUCCUGGAUGUCCAAGUAUACCAACAACAGAAGACAUUGAUAGUGGGGCAAAGCUUAGAUCAAGGUACCUAAGGACUCGUGAAAAGAGGUCCAACACCUCAUGCAAGUCAAUUGUAGUUGAAGAACUGACUCAAGAUCAUGCAGAUAUAGAAGACGAUCAUAAAAAUAAUACCGACAAUGAAAACAAUGUUGAAGAUAUUGCUGAGACAUUCGAUGGCCCAGAGAACAUAAAGCCAUCUGGUGAUCAUGCACAAACAGCAGUGCAAGAGGAAUUAACUCCCAACUCAAUGCUCGGUCUGUCACAUUACAGGCAUACGCUGGCAUGCACCUCGGAAGAGAGGGGCAGUAACUCUAAAUGUUUUAGGAGGAAGAGAUGUCAUACUGUGGCCAGCCUUGAUGCCAAAGCAAGAGUGUUUGCUGAACAUCUGGAUACGGAUGAGAGACAGCUUGAUUGCAUAGAAAGCCUAAGGCUUAUUUGAAACGCUCUUGAGUCCAUUUCCUGUGACUAGAACCAGUACUUGAUGUCUUUAGGGGAAAUCUAAAGAACGCUCCAACAGUGGGUAUCGAACCCAUGACCUCCCGAGCGCUAGGCGGACACCAUAUCCACUACACCACUUCGUCAAAGUAACCAUUUAAUUGGGUCUGGCUGUAGAUGUGAACAUACUUCUGAAAAAGGCGGAGACAUUAGCCAAACGGGUACUGUCAAAAACACAAUCCAAAACUGUCACCUGUCCCAAAUGCAAUCAAAUAUGCAUUAGACGUCGGCUGAAACUCCAUAUCCUAUCUCAUAUGGAUCUUCCGUAUAAAUGUAGUGCCUGUAAUUUGUAUUUUAAAACACUACAAGAGCAAGAGGAACAUAAGCAAGUCAAACAUCCAAAGGAAUAUCAGUGCAAGCAGUGUGACAGGAAGUACAAUUACUUGCUAUCACUACGACAGCAUAUGCAAGUAGCCCAUAGAAAACCUUGUGAGCAAUUACGUUUUGAAUGCUCGGUUUGUGGCAAGUCGUUCCCCACAAAAGGUCGACUUAAAGUCCACAUGGUUUCCCAUUCAAGUGAACGUCCGUUUACUUGCGAUUUGUGCGGCCUGUCUUUUAAGUCCCAUGAUGCCCUGAAAACGCACUCAAUGUACAUACACGAGGGGCUACCCAGGAAGCCCUAUGUACGUAAAUACACGUGCGAAUACUGCGCAGUGACUUUUAACAGUGGAACAACACUCAAGGAACAUAUUUUAAGAAAGCAUACAGAAAAUGCAGAAUUUAGACACAAAUGUGAUAUAUGUGACCAAUCAUUCUGUAGACCAGUCCGACUUGAGGCGCAUAAGAACAAAGAUCAUUUUAAUCGUAAACCAUAUACAUGCUCGCACUGUAACAAGGGCUUCUUUAUUGAAUAUGACUGUAAGCGUCACAUGAGCAGAUGUUCAAAAGAAAAAGACAGAAAUAAGAGUACAAAUGAAAAAGAUGACCAAGCAGCAUUUAAUAUAGAUGGGAAAACUCAUGGUACUUCAACGAAUGUCAGUAUAUCGUCUUCUGGGUAUCAGAUUUACCCAACCAACAGUAUCGGGAUAGAUCCGGUUCACAGCCAGGGGUCUGGUCAGCUAAGCUUUGUAGACCUUGGUGGCUCAUCUGUGAUGACUUCGUAUCUGGAAAACUCCACCAACUUGGCUAAUACGGUUUCUGUGACAUGUUUUCAGCCUGUAAACACAACCUACCAGGAUAUGUUGUGAAAACCCUGGCUUGAAGAAUAGUUAUGCAUCUUAAAUGUGUAUAGAUUUUGUAGUCACAUACACAUGUACAUGUUUAUCCAUUGAAACAUCCCAUUAUUAAUCAUUGGCCACAAUGUGGAUGGAGUGUAUAGAAAUGCUCUUCAGGGAUAUGUCAGUCUAUCAUUCUGUCAGUCUGCCUUAAACUUUUUGUCUCCUCCAUAUGUUGUAUACCAUUUGACAGAUAAUCAUGGAACUUGCAUUAAAUGUUAUGCUGACUUGAGGUCAAGUUCAUAUUUUAAGGUCAAAGGUUUGAGAUUCCAUUUUGUGUGCAAUCCAUAUCUCAUACACCCAUCGAGAGAUUUUCAUGAAAUAUGGCUAAAAUAUUGAGGUCAAUGCAAAUUAAGGUCAAGGUCAUACUUCAAGGUCAAAAGUUUGAGUAUCUACUCUCCAAUAAGAUAUUUCUCUUCUAUACCCAUAAAACGAUUUUCAUACAACCUGACUACAAUGUUAAGGUGAUUGAAGCAAUCUGAAGAAGGCAUUAUUAAGUCACCCUGGCAAAAAGUCAAGGUCACAUUUGAAAGUGAAAAGUUUAAGCCUGUAUUUUUUAUUCCACAUUUGGAGGAUUUUAUUUAAAUUUUGAUUAUUAUUCCCUUUGACCAGGCGAUGUGUUGUUAAGAACUGAUCCUUUGUGACCAUGGUCAAAUUGUAGGUUAAUGGGCAUACGGUUUAGUUUCCACUCUUAUCAUUAUGGUUUUCAUCUCUGCUCUGUUCCUUUAAUCUGCCUGAAAGGAUUAAAAUACAACCUAUGAUAAUGAUUCCCUAUGACCAGACAAUUUGUCUAAAACAACUCCCAUGCUCCACAGUAUAAUGUCAAGGUCAUAAUUCAAGGUCAAAGUAAAUAAAUGUUUGUUCUGAAGUUGAACUUGUAUUUGACUUAAAGGAUUUUUAUAUUUAUUUGGAUUAUUAUUCUUUAUGACUGAACCAUUUGUAGUUUGAGUAUUGAAUGCUUCUUUACUAGGUCAAGGAUAAAUUUCAAUGUGAGAAGAUCUAAACGAUUGUUUCCACUUCGUAACUGAUUGUGGUGGAAUUUAAUAUCAUUUCAGAUUAUUAGUCCCCAUGAUCAGAAUGUGCAGUGUUCAACUCCAAUUGUUCUCAAAGAAAGAUGAAUGUCACAAUUCAAGGUCAAAGUUUGUAAAUUAAUGUUUCUGCAACUUUUAAUUUCUUAGAGAAUGUAAAUAUUACUUAAGAUUAUUAAUCCCCAUUACCAGAUAAUGUGUCACUUAUAAUUGGUAUCGCUCCUCACUGCAAAGUCAAGGUCACACAAAUCAAGAACAAAGGUCAAUAACUUCGAUUUCCGUUCUGUUACUUUUUAUGUCGGCUAGGAUUCUAAUAGUAUUUGUAAGACCAUACGAUGAGUCAUAUACAAUUUGUAUGCUCUUAGGUGAAAGGUCUAUGUUAGAAUUCAAGGUUAUAGGUCAGAUUUUCAUCUCGGAUGUUAUUUGUAAAGAGUAAUGUAUCUCUUCUUUUGUUUAGCUUUUAUUAAGCCUUGAUAAUUGAAUGCACAAACCGCUAUUUUUAUUCAGUACAGGCCUUUCCUCUGGUGGAAAUUCUUAAUAAAUGACUAAUACAUAAAAAA
Molecule: RNA transcript, 3615 nt
Organism: Dreissena polymorpha
Lineage: Eukaryota; Metazoa; Mollusca; Bivalvia; Myida; Dreissenidae
Gene name: zinc finger protein 62-like
Exons: 5
Source: RefSeq, a predicted model, not a curated record